Molecule: ribosomal RNA, 397 nt
Filed under: uncultured bacterium
Lineage: Bacteria
Description: bacterial SSU rRNA
Rfam family: Bacterial small subunit ribosomal RNA
Source: RNAcentral
GAAUCUUAGACAAUGGGCGCAAGCCUGAUCUAGCCAUGCCGCGUGAGUGAUGAAGGCCUUAGGGUUGUAAAGCUCUUUUACCCGGGAUGAUAAUAACAGUACCGGGAGAAUAAGCCCCGGCUAACUCCGUGCCAGCAGCCGCGGUAAUACGGAGGGGGCUAGCGUUGUUCGGAAUUACUGGGCGUAAAGCGCGCGUAGGCGGCUUUGUAAGUCAGAGGUGAAAGCCUGGAGCUCAACUCCAGAACUGCCUUUGAAACUACAUCGCUUGAAUCAUGGAGAGGUUAGUGGAAUUCCGAGUGUAGAGGUGAAAUUCGUAGAUAUUCGGAAGAACACCAGUGGCGAAGGCGACUAACUGGACAUGUAUUGACGCUGAGGUGCGAAAGCGUGGGGAGCAAAC